GCCCGGUGCGGCGGGCUCCUGGCCGCGGCGCAGCUCGCGUUCGCCAUCCCGUUCCUCCGGGCCCGGAUCCCACGCUCCGGGCUUUAGCUGCGACCGAGUAGGCAGUCGGGGCGAAGGAAACGGGAACUGAAAGCGAUGAAAAGCGUUCCACACGCCACGAGCCCGCGGGAUCCUCGGAGAGUAUGGAACCCUUCCCCUCCGCUCUCAGCCGGAGGCCAGCUGCGUCCAGCCGGGCUCGGUCUUCUGAACACCGAUUUCAAAUCAGGUCCUCGGGGCCCAGCGUCACUUAGGGAAGUGGUGGCAUUUUGUGGUUGCUGCUAAAUCACGGAGAGCAGCCUUGGCGCUGCCGGUCCCAACUUGAUCCAAGGAGCCUUGAGAAGGAGAUGAGAUUCAGUACCAGGGGCCGGCCGUGGCUCCCAUCCUCCGGAAUCUGCAAAAUGGCUACUUCUUCAGAAAUAAUGGGGAGAGGGAUGGCAAGAGGCCAGAGAUCAAGGCCCUCGAGUAUUAACUUGAGCAUUUGGGCACAAAAUAGACACUUUUGGAUUUUCCCGUCUUUUCCAACACCAAGGAUGAGAUUAUCAAAAGAUGUGUUAAAUUAAUUUGUACCGGCCGGGCGCGGUGGCUUACGCCUGUAAUCCCAACACUUUGGGAGGCCGAGGCGGGCGAAUCACAAGGUCAUGAGUUCGAAACCAGCCUGGCCAAUAUGGUGAAACCCCCGUCUCUACUAAAAAUACAGAAAUUAGCCGGGAGUGGUGGCGUACGCCUGUAGUCCCAGCUACUCUGGAGGCUAAGGCAGGAGAAUCGCUUGAAUCCGGGAGGUGGAGGUCGCAGUGAGCCGAGACCGGGCCACUGCACUCCAGCCUGGGAGACAGAGCGAGACUCUGUCUCAAGAAAAAAAAAAAAUCAAUUUGUACCAUUCCUUGCCCCACCCUGCCGAACUUAUUGAAAGAGCAUCGCUUUCCUCACUUUUCUCCUCUAACAGAAAAGCACUUAGAUGAAGCUACAGGGAGCCAGAAUUCUUUUGACUUGGUGGGUACCGGAGGAUUGGAAGAAUCUAGAUUGAGUAUUCCUUGGCCUUUGGGGAGCUUGCUCUAUGCAAAGUCACCCAGGAAAUGAUACUCCCCCCACUGUGAAACACUAGCUAGAGAUGAUAGACAAAAAGCACAUUUGUUGUAAUCUCCCUUUGACGGGAUUCAGGUUGGGAUAGAUGUCGAAGCAGCUGCUUCUAGGUAGUCAACGAAGAUGUCAACUAGUAAAUGACAACAGACAAGGAUGAGCACAGCAGAGCUGUACGAUUCUAGAUAUCAAAAAGAGCAAGCAGUCUGUUGUACUCACCAUCGCAUCCUCAGCAGCUGCCCAGUGCCCGGUUUUAACUUAGUGCUCAGUGUAUGUGUCAGGUUUGAAUCCCAAUUCUGAUACUACCUGUGCUACUCUCUUCACCUCUCUGAGUCUGUAAAGGAUUAUUUAAGAAUUAAAUGAAACAACAUACAGAAAAGUGUCCUGCAUGUAUAUUUAGUGCCUAACAAAUAUUGGUUGAACGUCGAAAGUGGCAAGGAGGCUCAGUAUGUUCUUAUACGCUUUGCCUCCCUUCUCCUGAGCAAGCAUGUCCUUGCCCAGCUCAUCUGCUUCUCUCACCACUUUUGCCCUCACUCCCUCCACCUGUCCUCCAAAUGACUCAAAAUAAUCUGCACUAUUUAUUAUGCAUCUACUAUGUUCCAAGACAAUGAGGGUCAGCUGAGCCCGCAUUGCAGGAUGGAAAUUUCCAACUAUGUUCUGUUUACAGCUAAUGAUAUUUGCACCUAAUGCAAAGGUUUACAGACUUUACUGUUAUAGAAUCAUUUGGAAUACCUGUUGAAGAUGCAGACACCCACCUUACCAUACCUCCUAUUGCUAAGAUUACGCUUGAAAGGAUCUGAGAUAUAAGAAAGAUUGGAGAACUGUGUGCCUGGCAAUUGCCUUGCUGAAAGGAAGCCCUCAGAAAAAGUUGUUUGAUGGUGAGAGCUGGCCAAGCCAGAAAGACAAACCAAGCGACUUUGAGUGGGGGCUUUGUGUCACAAGGCAUCAGUAGACCUGGAGACUGAGUUCAGGCAAUCAAUCAAUCAAUCAAUCAAUCAGGCCUACAGAAUGAAACUCCAACUAAAAACUGUGGACACCAAAGCUCAGCUGAUUUCCUGGUUGGCAAUACUCCAUGCAUAUUGUCACACAUCAAUGCCAGCUGGUCAGUGGUAGAGGACAAUAAAAGUUUUCACACUUGGAA
RNAcentral lists this long non-coding RNA (2257 nucleotides) under Homo sapiens (human). RNAcentral's name for it is "HSALNT0090087". Lineage: Eukaryota; Metazoa; Chordata; Mammalia; Primates; Hominidae. The record is from RNAcentral.